RNAcentral lists this ribosomal RNA (497 nucleotides) under uncultured bacterium. Its description in RNAcentral is "partial 16S ribosomal RNA". It matches the Rfam family "Bacterial small subunit ribosomal RNA", at positions 28 to 507 of the family's 1533-position model. The record is from RNAcentral.
GAUGAACGCUGGCGGCGUGCCUAAUACAUGCAAGUCGAGCGAACGGACGAGAAGCUUGCUUCUCUGAUGUUAGCGGCGGACGGGUGAGUAACACGUGGAUAACCUACCUAUAAGACUGGGAUAACUUCGGGAAACCGGAGCUAAUACCGGAUAAUAUUUUGAACCGCAUGGUUCAAAAGUGAAAGACGGUCUUGCUGUCACUUAUAGAUGGAUCUGCGCUGCAUUAGCUAGUUGGUAAGGUAACGGCUUACCAAGGCAACGAUGCAUAGCCGACCUGAGAGGGUGAUCGGCCGCACUGGAACUGAGACACGGUCCAGACUCCUACGGGAGGCAGCAGUAGGGAAUCUUCCGCAAUGGGCGAAAGCCUGACGGAGCAACGCCGCGUGAGUGAUGAAGGUCUUCGGAUCGUAAAACUCUGUUAUUAGGGAAGAACAUAUGUGUAAGUAACUGUGCACAUCUUGACGGUACCUAAUCAGAAAGCCACGGCUAACUACGUG